Molecule: non-coding RNA, 21 nt
Filed under: Caenorhabditis elegans
Lineage: Eukaryota; Metazoa; Nematoda; Chromadorea; Rhabditida; Rhabditidae
Source: RNAcentral
UAUUCAAUUCAGUUGGUUUAA